Molecule: ribosomal RNA, 533 nt
Filed under: Leukoma jedoensis
Lineage: Eukaryota; Metazoa; Mollusca; Bivalvia; Venerida; Veneridae
Description: partial 16S ribosomal RNA
Rfam family: Bacterial large subunit ribosomal RNA
Source: RNAcentral
CGCCUGUUUAUUAAAAACAUCGCUCCUUGGGUUAUAGUGAAUUAAUAUAAGGAGUCGGGCCUGCCCGGUGUAUGAGAGUAUAAACGGUUGCAACGAGAGUUGUGCAAAGGUAGCGUGAUAAUUUGUCCUUUAAUUGAGGACUGGUAUGAAUGGUUUGACGUGUAAUUGCUUUUUUUACAUAAGUUUUACGAAAUUUCCUUUUAGUGUGAAAAGGCUUAAAUUUUUGAAAAAGACGAGAAGACCCUGUCGAACUUGAUUAGAAUUAUUGUUUUGAGUAGAAUCAGCAUAAUAUAUUCAGAAAUUUUAUUGGGGCAAUAUUGGCUUAAAAAACAGCUUAAACUAAACAAAGAUCCUUUAAGGAAGAAAUUUGGCAGAAGUUACCGCAGGGAUAACAGCGUUAUUUUUCCUGAGAGAUCGAAUUGAGGGAAAAGUUUGCGACCUCGAUGUUGGAUUAUAGAAACUUUAUGGUGCAGCAGCUAUAAUUGUGAGACUGUUCGUCUUUUAAAUCUAUACAUGAUCUGAGUUCAGACCGG